This is a non-coding RNA of Pelobates cultripes (western spadefoot toad), 249 nucleotides long. The record is from the annotation of a GenBank genome assembly. NCBI's taxonomy places the organism in Eukaryota, Metazoa, Chordata, Amphibia, Anura, Pelobatidae.
GUUUGUUAUGCUGUGUGUGUUUAGAGGUGUUUUUGUCAUGCUGUGUGUGUUAGAGGUGUUUUUGUCAUGCUGUGUGUGUUAGAGGUGUGUUUGUCAUGCUGUGUGUCUUAGAGGUGUGUUUGUCAUGCUGUGUGUGUGUUAGAGGUGUGUUUGUUAUGCUGUGUGUUAGAAACAUAGAAACAUAGAAUGUGACGGCAGAUAAGAGUCAUUCGGCCCAUCUAGUCUGCCCAAUUUUGUGUGUUAGAGGUG